Molecule: ribosomal RNA, 274 nt
Filed under: uncultured bacterium
Lineage: Bacteria
Description: partial 16S ribosomal RNA
Rfam family: Bacterial small subunit ribosomal RNA
Source: RNAcentral
CUACGGAGGGUGCAAGCGUUACUCGGAAUCACUGGGCGUAAAGCGCGCGCAGGCGGCCAUUUAAGUUGGAUGUGAAAGCCUACGGCUCAACCGUAGAACUGCAUCCAAAACUAUUUGACUAGAGUGUGGGAGAGGAAGAUGGAAUUAGUUGUGUAGGGGUAAAAUCCGUAGAGAUAACUAGGAAUACCAAAAGCGAAGGCAAUCUUCUGGAACACUACUGACGCUGAGGCGCGAAAGCGUGGGGAGCAAACGGGAUUAGAAACCCCAGUAGUCC